Molecule: ribosomal RNA, 445 nt
Filed under: uncultured bacterium
Lineage: Bacteria
Description: bacterial SSU rRNA
Rfam family: Bacterial small subunit ribosomal RNA
Source: RNAcentral
CCAGACUCCUACGGGAGGCAGCAGUGGGGAAUAUUGCACAAUGGGGGAAACCCUGAUGCAGCGACGCCGCGUGAAGGACGAAGUAUUUCGGUACGUAAACUUCUAUCAGCAGGGAAGAAAAUGACGGUACCUGACCAAGAAGCCCCGGCUAACUACGUGCCAGCAGCCGCGGUAAUACGUAGGGGGCAAGCGUUAUCCGGAUUUACUGGGUGUAAAGGGAGCGUAGACGGCCAUGCAAGUCUGAUGUGAAAACCCGGGGCUCAACCCCGGGACUGCAUUGGAAACUGGGCGGCUGGAGUGUCGGAGAGGCAAGUGGAAUUCCUAGUGGAGCGGUGAAAUGCGUAGAUAUUAGGAGGAACACCAGUGGCGAAGGCGGCUUGCUGGACGACGACUGACGUUGAGGCUCGAAAGCGUGGGGAGCAAACAGGAUUAGAUACCCCGGUAA